This 122-nucleotide small nucleolar RNA is filed under the name Erinaceus europaeus (western European hedgehog). Lineage: Eukaryota; Metazoa; Chordata; Mammalia; Eulipotyphla; Erinaceidae. The record is from RNAcentral.
AUUUGCUAAAUUCACUGGGCCUCUUCUAGUGACCCACUGAGCCAUCAAGACAAGGGAAAAGUAAAGACACCACUUUUGGGAUCAGCCUCCGAGAAGGGGGGUGAGUUUGGGUUGGCAGGAGG